AAUAAGUGUAGUUUUAUACUAUUUAUGUUCAACGUUUGACCGUCCGUCUUAUUUGAAAAAUUUGUGAAAAAAUUAAAAACAUUUAGUCACACAUAAAGUACUAUUCAUGUUUUAUUAUCUAAUAGCAAUAAAAAUACUAAUCAUAAAAAAUUUUCAAAUAAGACGGACGGUUAAACGUUGAACAUGAAUAGUGCAAAACUGCACUUAUU
RNAcentral lists this microRNA precursor (209 nucleotides) under Oryza rufipogon (brownbeard rice). Its description in RNAcentral is "MIR812 microRNA precursor family". It matches the Rfam family "MIR812 microRNA precursor family". The record is from Rfam by way of RNAcentral. Lineage: Eukaryota; Viridiplantae; Streptophyta; Magnoliopsida; Poales; Poaceae.